AACCCUAAUGAGCCCUAAAAACGUUCUUAUUCUAAAUCUAGGGGCGCAACUUUCUUUGACGAUGCCGCUAAUUCUAAAUCUAAGAGGCGCAGAUACAAGUUAUGGCGGAGGAGAUGCAUUAACUAUUGAAGAAACCGAUGACGACGAGGAGGAGAUACGAUCUUCCUUUAAGGUUCUUUAAGCAAUUCAUUUAUUUAUUUUAGAUCCGAUUCGCACUAGCAUAAUUUAGGGAUUUUGUAAUAGUAGAUCUUUUGAUUUUUCACUAAUUAAACAGCUAAAUAAUUUCUCUUUGACUUGAAGGGUUAGUAAAACAAAAAGGGUAAUUGUAUUUAAUCCCCGUGUGUUGCUAUUUAUUUCGAUUUGCAGUAGCAUAAUUUAGGGGUUUGGUUAUAUUAGAUCUUUUGAUUUUCCACCGGAUAUGGUAAAUAUGGUAAUUAAAGGAGUAAAGAAUUUCUCUUUGAUUUGAAAGGUUAGUGAAACAAAGAGUGUAAUUUUACUAAAUCCAUGUGUGUUUUGUUUGCUAUCUAUGGACAGGAUUUCGGUAUUAGGUCGAUGUUUAUGGCAUUUCAUAAUUUGUAUAGAAUGAAGAACAAUGGUCAAAAUGUGUUUGCAACCAAUGGGCCGUGCUUCUAGAAGAUCUCCAUUAAGAAGAAACUGCUAACUUUAAGUUCUGGUAUCGAAUUCUAUUAGACCUUGUAGGAUCGAAUGAUCCUUUAAUGUGGUACUAGAAGACUAGGUUUUGGAACCACUGGAGUCUCUUCUUCAAGCCCUUGGCUGCUGUUCAAAGGAGAUACGGAGCAUCUCUUAGCCAUUGAGCUAAGACUAUAUAAAUGCAGUUGCUGCGGCCGCCUCACUUGGUUGGAUUGACAACUGCUGAGCCUACUGGCAUACGACUCAAACAAAAUGCUUAAUCACCCCUGUCAUUUACCUUCACCCAUACAUAUGUGCAGCUAUAAAAUGUGUAACAUUGGGUCGCGCACUACAGGAAAAAUAUCUAUCUGCGACCAAUGCAUUCAACGAUCGCCCCAUCCGGUCACUGAUAGUAUUGAGCCUAGGCUUAUAUAUAUGUAUGUAUAUAUAUAUAUAUAUAUAUAUAUAUAUAUAUAUAUAUCUUCAUCUUGCAUUACCUGCUGAAGGUCGUAUCUCUUGCCGGCCUGUCGAAGUUAUCAACUUACCUCCAAUUCCUUCGGUCUUAAGGGAGUUAAGACCGAAGUUAUCAACUUACCUCCAAUUCUUUCGUAUCUCUUGCCCUUCUUCAUUGACAACCACCAAGUUAACAGAUUGCAUCAGUAUCGGACAAGCUGGUUUUGUUCAAUUUCAACUUUCAUUUUGAUAUUUGUUUUCAAUAUUGUUCACAAGUGUUUUGUGAGAAUCAUUAUUGUAUAUGUUGGUUUAUCUCAAAUACCCACUUGUAUGAGUAGUAGUACAUUAUAAUGUGAUCGUAUGAACUUUGCAUACUAUAAUUGAGGCAAACAUUCUCCCCUACGUACAAAUAUGUGUGCUCAUUUGUUUCCGAUUUAUAAUUGUUUUAUUUUAACUCACAUAUUUCAAUAAUUUUUAAAUUUAAUUAUUUUCAGGUAUAUAUUGAAGGAUACAUGAUGUAAGCUGUAAAGAAUAUACUUGGUGUAAGCUGUAAAGUAAAGGGUCUUAGUGUCUCUAUUUUCUGCAUGUAUGUAUUACCCAAAUUCUAGGUUUUGUCCUAGAAGUUAAACCAGUGGAAGGAAGAAGAAGAUGAUGGUUAAGGAGAAGUGGGUGAAAAGCUCUACCAAAUCCUCCCUCAGCCAUCUUCACAGAUGUGACGCCCCCAAAAUAGGUUUACAUCACCUAUUCUGAGUCGCCAAAUACAUAGUACAGAAUACAAAUACAAAUUUAAAUAUACAACAUGAGCUGUGAGUUUUAAUACAAAUAUUGUCUUCUAGACAGUAUACAAACUCAAAAUAAGUCCUCAAUACAUUU
Molecule: long non-coding RNA, 1956 nt
Filed under: Panax ginseng (ginseng)
Lineage: Eukaryota; Viridiplantae; Streptophyta; Magnoliopsida; Apiales; Araliaceae
Description: long non-coding RNA (PGIN_LNC011302)
Source: RNAcentral